AGCAUAUGAGAUGGAAGAAAUGGGCUACAUUUUCUAAGAUAGAACAUUCAACGAAAGAGAGCAUGAAACAUCUCUCAGAAGG
Molecule: ribosomal RNA, 82 nt
Filed under: Aepyornis maximus
Lineage: Eukaryota; Metazoa; Chordata; Aves; Struthioniformes; Aepyornithidae
Description: partial 12S ribosomal RNA
Source: RNAcentral